ACUCUAUCAAAUAUUCUGUACUCUGCCCUUGGGUUUUUACGUCCAAGAUGCAUUAUCUUGCACUUAUCCACAUUAAAUGUCAGUUGCCACAAUUCUGACCAUUUUUCUAGUUUACCUAAAUCAUUUGCCAUUUGGCUUAUCCCUCCUGGAACAUCAACCCUGUUACAUAUCUUAGUAUCAUCAGCAAAAAGACAUACCUUACCAUCAAGACCUUCUGCAAUAUCA
Molecule: long non-coding RNA, 225 nt
Filed under: Pelobates cultripes (western spadefoot toad)
Lineage: Eukaryota; Metazoa; Chordata; Amphibia; Anura; Pelobatidae
Source: RNAcentral